RNAcentral lists this transfer RNA (73 nucleotides) under Diaphorina citri (Asian citrus psyllid). It matches the Rfam family "tRNA". From Rfam's summary of the family: Transfer RNA (tRNA) molecules are approximately 80 nucleotides in length. Their secondary structure includes four short double-helical elements and three loops (D, anti-codon, and T loops). Lineage: Eukaryota; Metazoa; Arthropoda; Insecta; Hemiptera; Psyllidae. The record is from Rfam by way of RNAcentral.
GCCUAGUUAGCUUAGUUGGUAGCGCGUCUGCCUUGUAAGCGUUUGGCCGCGGGUUCGAUUCCCGCCCGGGGCG